Molecule: ribosomal RNA, 499 nt
Filed under: uncultured Glomeromycotina
Lineage: Eukaryota; Fungi; Glomeromycota
Description: partial small subunit ribosomal RNA
Rfam family: Eukaryotic small subunit ribosomal RNA
Source: RNAcentral
CCAAUAGCGUAUAUUAAAGUUGUUGCAGUUAAAAAGCUCGUAGUUGAAUUUCGGGAUCAAUAUGUUGGUCGUGCCUUGGUACGUACUGGCAUUAUUGGUUUCUACCUUCUGAAGAACCUCGAUGUCAUUAAUUUGGUGUCUUGGGGAAUCAGGACUGUUACUUUGAAAAAAUUAGAGUGUUUAAAGCAGGCUCGCGCUUGAAUACAUUAGCAUGGAAUAAUGAAAUAGGACGUUUGAUUCUAUUUUGUUGGUUUCUAGGAUCGACGUAAUGAUUAAUAGGGAUAGUUGGGGGCAUUAGUAUUCAAUUGUCAGAGGUGAAAUUCUUGGAUUUAUUGAAGACUAACUACUGCGAAAGCAUUUGCCAAGGAUGUUUUCAUUAAUCAGGAACGAAAGUUAGGGGGUCGAAGACGAUCAGAUACCGUCGUAGUCUUAACCAUAAACUAUGCCGACUAGGGAUCGGAUGAUGUUAAUUUUUUAAUGACUCAUUCGGCGCCUUACG